GGAAGUAAAAGUUCGUAACAAGGUCUCCGUUGUUGAACCAGCGGAGGGAUCAUUACCAGAGUCUUACCACUCCCAACCCUUCUGUGAACCUACCUAUCGUUGCUUCGGCGGACUCGCCCCAGCGUCCGGACGGCCCCGCGCCGGCCCGCGACCUGGACCCAGGCGGCCGCCGGAGACCACACAAUCCUGUAUCCAUCAGUCUCUCUGAAUCCGCCGCAAGGCAAACCAAACGAAUCAAAACUUUCAACAAUGGAUCUCUUGGUUCUG
RNAcentral lists this unclassified non-coding RNA (267 nucleotides) under plant metagenome. RNAcentral describes it as "partial contains small subunit ribosomal RNA, internal transcribed spacer 1, and 5.8S ribosomal RNA". The record is from RNAcentral.